RNAcentral lists this ribosomal RNA (221 nucleotides) under uncultured bacterium. RNAcentral describes it as "partial 16S ribosomal RNA". It matches the Rfam family "Bacterial small subunit ribosomal RNA", at positions 109 to 334 of the family's 1533-position model. The record is from RNAcentral.
AGUAAUGCUUGGGAAUCUGGCUUAUGGAGGGGGAUAACUACGGGAAACUGUAGCUAAUACCGCGUAGAAUCGGAAGAUGAAAGUGCGGGACCGCAAGGCCGCAUGCCAUGAGAUGAGCCCAAGUGGGAUUAGGUAGUUGGUGGGUAAAGGCCUACCAAGCCUGCGAUCUCUAGCUGGUCUGAGAGGAUGGCCAGCCACACUGGAACUGAGACACGGUCCAG